Long non-coding RNA from Juglans microcarpa x Juglans regia, 297 nucleotides. RefSeq lists it as uncharacterized. The record is from RefSeq and is a predicted model, not a curated record. The transcript has 3 exons. Lineage: Eukaryota; Viridiplantae; Streptophyta; Magnoliopsida; Fagales; Juglandaceae.
CCUGCAUAUUCUUAACAAGUUCUCUCUGUCACGAGUUAUUUCUCUCGCCCAUGAAAGUUGAGGGACAUUUCGUGGAAAGUAAGGGGGGAGCCUUCCUCAUUAUUGUAGCUCAGAGGAUUGCUAAUGCAGCUGGUCAUUCUACGAAUUGGUUCCCUCAAUCACACGGCAUUCAAAUAGCCAAGUUGAAUCCCAUGGUCAUGAAUAAUUUAAAUAUAAAUAAAAAAAAAAAAAAACCUUUAUAACAGACCAGAUUUUCUAUAGUUAGCACUUAGUGCGUCACAUGGCCAUGACCUUGUC